AAUCAGCUUUUGUAAACCCUUUUGCACCAAGUUGGCUAGCCCCACAAGCUAGCAUGAGGAUGUCAAAAAAGAGAAUAAAGUUAAAAGUGAAACUAAAUAUCUCAAUGAACAAAUUUAUCAGAAGUCCAUAUUUAUGUGGAUGUCUAUAUAGGACAAACAAUUUUUUUAGACAAUUAUAGAAUAUAGUCACGAAAAUCAAUCCUAAUAUAUAUAAUUUAAAAAAACCAUCAAAAUUUUCAAUAUUACACCAAAUAAGAAUAUAAAGACCAACUAUAUUCUCUUUAUGUAUAAUGUGUUGUGGUAAGAUUCAAAAAAAUUAACUUACUUUACAGUAAGGAAAAACUAGAUUUUUAAUUCCAAAUUUACAAUAAAAACAUAACAUUUUAUAAAACUAAACAAUUGACAUAAUAGUAUAAAAAUAUGAAAAAAAAAACAAAAUACUAUCCGCGCGUAGCGCGGACAAGGACCUAGUUUAUAUAAAUGGACAAACACAGCAAAAAGAAAAGAGAUAAAAAAAAGGAAGAUAAAAUUAGUGUUUAGCGGGAGAAAAUAGUGAUUAGUUAAUACCGUUAUAGUUGUCCAUCUGAUUUGUCACAAUUGUAAAGACAGGCCAAUAACUUUCGUCCGCAAAACCUCUUGAGACUUCAAUUCUCAUCCAAUAGAAAAUCAAUAAUCUCUUAUAUGUUAUUUGAGAAGUAUUACAACAUUUUUUUGUAGCCACGUGUCAUCACUAGAAUGAUUUUUAGAAUCCUUAGAGAAAUAGGUUGGUCCAUCUAAAUAUAUAAUAAACUUUUUAUUAAACCACAAUAAAUACAUUAUUAAUGUGCUUC
Molecule: long non-coding RNA, 830 nt
Filed under: Brassica rapa (field mustard)
Lineage: Eukaryota; Viridiplantae; Streptophyta; Magnoliopsida; Brassicales; Brassicaceae
Description: long non-coding RNA (BRAP_LNC005109)
Source: RNAcentral